GUUCUCAAAGUACUUGAAGAUGGGGUACACCUGGUACUCCGGGUUCGCCUUGAGGUGCCUGAAGAUGGUGAUGUACCUCCAGUACCCAAUCUUCUCCGACAGGUAGGUCGCGUAGAAGAUGAACUUGGGCUUGAAGAAGGUGUACUUCCUAGCCUUGGUCAAGAACCCGAGGUCCAGUGCCAAGUUGAAAUCAGACAGCCCCUUGUUCAAGAACCCAGCGUGCCGGGCCUCAUCCCUGGACAUGAGCGAGAAGAUCUCAGCCACCACUGGGUUUGUUUUCUUGAGCCUGCGGCCGAGCUCCUUGUAGAGGAGGAACCCGGAGAACUCCGCGGUGCAGGAGCGCUCGAGGAACUCGACGAAGAUCUGCCUGAGAGGCCCCUCCAUCUUGUCGGCGGCGGCCUUGAACUCCGGGUUGCGGACGAAGUGGGUCUGGUUAUAGUCCGUCUUGAACUCCUGCAGCAGCGCGUCGAACUCCUCCUGGUUGAGCUGCUUGUUGAUCUCGGCGUUGAACAGCCGCUCCAUCUCGUCGAAGUCCGUGGUGUAGAACCGCGGCGUCAGCAGCGUCUCCUGGAUCUCCGUCUUCCCGCGCUUCUUGGGCGUCCCGGGCUUCGCCGCGGGCGGCGCCGCGGCUGACGACGCCACGCGGAACCGCACGAUGCGCCUGGAAGACACGACGCGGGGCUUGGCGGCGGAGAGGCCGCGCAUUGCCGCCGGGUUGAGGAGGGAGAGCUCCAUGGCGGAGGAGGCCAUUUCGUCAAACACCUGGC
Molecule: unclassified non-coding RNA, 767 nt
Filed under: Hevea brasiliensis (rubber tree)
Lineage: Eukaryota; Viridiplantae; Streptophyta; Magnoliopsida; Malpighiales; Euphorbiaceae
Source: RNAcentral